UCCCUUGUGGCUCAGCUGGUAAAGAAUCUGCCUGCAAUGCAGGAGACCUGGGUUGGAUCCCCGAGUUGGGGAG
Non-coding RNA from Bos taurus (domestic cattle), 73 nucleotides. The record is from Rfam. NCBI's taxonomy places the organism in Eukaryota, Metazoa, Chordata, Mammalia, Artiodactyla, Bovidae.